UAAGUCCCGUAACGAGCGCAACCCUUGUCCUUAGUUACCAUCAUUAAGUUGGGGACUCUAAGGAGACUGCCGGUGACAAACCGGAGGAAGGCGGGGACGACGUCAAGUCAUCAUGGCCCUUACGAGUAGGGCUACACACGUGCUACAAUGGCAAGUACAGAGGGUUGCGAAGCAGCAAUGUGAAGCUAAUCCCAGAAAGCUUGUCGUAGUCCGGAUUGGAGUCUGCAACUCGACUCCAUGAAGUCGGAAUCGCUAGUAAUCGUGAAUCAGAAUGUCACGGUGAAUACGUUCCCGGGCCUU
This 300-nucleotide ribosomal RNA is filed under the name uncultured bacterium. Its description in RNAcentral is "bacterial SSU rRNA". It matches the Rfam family "Bacterial small subunit ribosomal RNA", at positions 1081 to 1382 of the family's 1533-position model. The record is from RNAcentral.